RNAcentral lists this long non-coding RNA (11749 nucleotides) under Homo sapiens (human). RNAcentral's name for it is "long non-coding RNA NONHSAT208796.1". The record is from RNAcentral. Lineage: Eukaryota; Metazoa; Chordata; Mammalia; Primates; Hominidae.
UAAAUAAAAUGGCUUGCUCAAGAAACCAGGUUUGAAGUGGAGGUUUGCCGUCACUCCCCAGAUCUGUAUGGAAGUGUCAGAAGUGGAGUCAGCUAGUUAGUUCACCCCAAUAGGUACUGAGAGCUAUUAAGUCUGUACCACUGUGUCGGGAGAGACCAGGAGGAAUCGAGCAGACUCCAAGAUGAUGAUUAAGGUGGGCCCUAAUCCAAUCUGACUGGUGUCCUCGUAAGAAGAGAAGAUGAGGACACAGACAAACACAGAGGGAAGACUGUGUGAGGGCACAGGGAGAAAAUGACUCUCUACAACAAGGAGAGAGGCUUCAGAAUAAACCAAUUCUGCUGACACCUCUCAAACUUCUAGCCUCCAGAAGAGUGAGGAAAUCCAUUUCUGUUGUAUAAGCCACCCAGUUUGUGGUGUUUAUUAUGGCGGCCCUAGCAAGGGAAUACAGAGGGAGACAGGUUCAGACAUGUAAAGCGAGCCUUUAAAAGACACCACGUGCACCAGUGGAGCCCCAGGCCCAGGCCCCACAGACCUUGCCUCCUGGUCCAGUCCUUACUUUAUCUCAGGAUGUGACAUUGCGUUUCUUAUGGAAAAGAUCUCACUAACCUACUUCAUUUAGGAAUGCAAUUUAAUUGGCAACUCAACGGUGAUGUCGCUUCUUUUGCCAUUUUUCUGCAACACCAAAGGAAAAAAUUUUAAGCCAGCUUUUUUUAGCUGCAAAGAUGACAAAUGUUAUCAACAAUAUCCAACCAGAGUAUAUUUUCAUCCCUUUUCAUCCCGUCACGAUAAGCCAGAAGUAUUUGUUGCCAGAAAUGGAAAACAGCUUGUUCAUCAGCCAGAUGAUCGCAGUGCUCAGAAGUUCCACUCGUUUGCCAUGUGUGAAAAGUUAAGAAUUGAAAACAGACAGGCUUGCUCUGCUUAAACCGUGAGUUCUGUGAAGCAAGAGAAAGAGAAAUUUGGAUACUAGGAGAAGAGUUGUGAGAUGGUUUCGACGGCAAAGUGAACAGGGCCUUUUCACAUUAUUCUGAGAUGGGACCUCUGGGUUGAUUUGAUAGUGGAUAUGACUGUUCUCUAAUUGGCUAGAAGAUGAGUCUAAAGUUACCAACCACCGGAGGAUACUUUUGUGUUCUAGAACAAAUUCCAAUGUCCUACACAAAUGUGAUGCUGGGGACUUCUCUGUUACCUGACACCAAAUUUCCUAGACAUUUCCAUUAUACUUCCUCUUCCUGAUUAUCUUGAGUGGGAAAUCUCCAUGAGUUCUUAGUAGAAGGCAGAAGUAUACAGUGGACCUGGGCCUUCAUUAGAAACCAUGAGACUUCAAAUGAGAGCCUGAAUUAUUCCUUUAUGUUUUCAUUUAUGUGAGAAAAUAAGGGAUAUUGUUGACUUUUUAUGAGAUUAAGUUACCCAGUUAUCCAUCCUAUUAUUAUAAGUUUUAGUGUUUGCAAAGAGAUUUCUGAUCGUUUUUAUUAGUCUCUUUGUAAUAGCUUCAGGGACUUUUUGACAAAAGAGAGAACCAUUUUAAGCAGUAGAAAUGUAGGCUUACAGAGGUCAAAUGGUUAAUUUGAGAUUGCCCAGCAAAACAAAACAAUACGAAAAAGAACACCUGAAGAAAAAUCAAGAUUCAUACUCUGGGCUGUAAUUACCAUUCUGUAGGUUUCCGGAAGCUCAUAUAGUCACAUUACAUUUUGUUCAUGUCGUUAGAAAUCAUUUGCAGUUCAACACUUAGAUUCCCUCCUGUGUUUGAUUUGCAAGGUCUUGGAAGUUAACUUGAACUCAAGGAUUUGUCUACCUAAGAGAGGCAAAUAGAAAAACCCCUAAAGCCACCUGACCUGAUUCUUCUUUGUUAAGACCAGCUCAGAAUAGAGUGAAAUAAGCAAGCUGCAGAAAGACAAUGCUACGUUGAGUUCCACUUCCUCUUGAUAAAUUCAGAACAGCCAGUCCAUCUUAAGGGUGGAUGUUUUUAGCAGCAGGGAGUGGUAGUUGGAUGGAGGCAAGCGGAUGGAAAGGAGGAGAGAGGAGAAGAGAGACAAACUCAGGUGCCCCAGAAAAGUCCACUUUCUCCGUCCCCAUUCAGGCCACCUUCAUCUUCCCCCACCCUCUGCUGGCCUUUCUGGGGGCUCAGGUUUUGAGCUGACUGAGCCCUCAGCGGGAGACCACAACGCAUUUUCAGAUGAAAGGACAACCCUGAAGGUACCUAUUACAUGUCUGUGAGCAGAGAAACAAAGGCCCGGCUGCUGACACCCUCCCACUAACUUGAGUUUUAAUGGUAGGUUUGAUUUCCUCACGCUUAGCUGAAAGAAAGGGAAAAAACUAAGCGGAAAGAACGAGGGUGUGGGUAUCUGUGGUGGUGGGGAAACGACAGCUGUUGUAUUCAUGGUUAAUCAGGUGUGUCUGGCUUUGUGUCGCAUCUGUCUGCUACUGUUGCCAGGCCACAUGUGAAAGGGAACCGAGGGGAAGGGGCCAUUCAUGUUCAAAGCCAGUAGCACUGACCUCUGCCUCGUUCUCUUCAGGGUAGGAAAGCUUGUCUAUUUAACUUUCCCUAUUAUAGGAAGCUGUAAUUCUACUCUAUUAGCCCACCCUAACCAUUUUGGCCUGACAAAUGCAAGCUGCAUCCAGAAUGCCAUAAAUCUGCAUGGGAAGGAGUCCUCCUCCCUCCUUCCCAUUUUUUUCCUUUGGGGUUCGGUUCGAUUUGUCAAACAAGAGAAAACCAGCAAGAGAGAGAAAAAUGAGAACUCAGGGCAUCUUGGUUCACCUUCCAUCUUAAAUGGGCCUAGGGACCGAGAUGGGGGCUGGGAGGCACCCCAAGGUCAAGCCUGGAGCACUGGUUCCCCCUCCAGAUCUGUUUAUCUCACGAGUCCCACAUGCGUGUGGUGAUUGCGUCAGACCUUAGUCAUCUCCCUGGCACCAAAUCCUCCUCCUGGAUCCUUGAUCCCCCUCCUCCUUCUCUGCCCACAUACAGAGGGACCAUGAUGGAGGAGGGGAGGCUUCUGGCUUCUCCUGGAGCCAGGCCUGUGUUCUAGAUAUUGCUGGCCCAGGCCUGCCAGGCACGACUCUCCUCUCUGGCAUAUGGAGAAACAGCUGAAAUGGAAACAACCCCCAAUGCACCACAUUGCACUAAAGCUUAGCGUCAGAGUUCAAAGGACUACUCCAAUUGGAGAUCAAACUGAUCCCUCCCACUGUGGCCUUUUUUGAGGGGGUCCAUCACAACCCUUCGGGGGUGCUUUUCUCCAGCACUUCCGCUUCAGGGCCAGCCCUUGUGUUUCUUGGAGUAAAUGAUUGCUGUCAGCAUUUCCAACACCAUGGAGUUCUGGCUCCAACUUUGGCUUCCUGGAGAAUGGGCCAUCAUAGACUUAUUACAGGGUUCAGAAGAGCUUGCCAUCUGCAAUCUAUUUUAGUUGUCACUGCCUCUUAAAAUAGGCACUAACUUUUAUCCCAUCACAUUAAUUCCUCUCAUGUUGAGGCUAGAGUCGAGCUUUUGGGGUGUGUGUAUGCACGUAACUAUCUUUUUAAAAUCAGAAGGGUUAUUUUCCUAAGACAUGGGUUAUCAGCAGCACAGCUGAGUUUCCUCUUUCUACUGGCCUGUGCUGAUGAAGUUGGUUGCGUUAUUGACCUGCAGCUUUGGGGUCAGAAUGCUUUUGGUUCCCUGAUGUAGAAGGACAUUGCAAAACUAUCCCAGUGCCCUGUGCACUGUCUUUCUCUCUCUGAUACUCCCCAGAUCUCCAAAUUUUAAUGGUGUCAAUAGACAUAACUCAUGCUCCUGCUAGAAGCCUAGCACCCUGCUAGGCUCUGUGAGGACUUUGAGAAUUUGUCAUCUUGUGAGACGCCAUGAAUAAUGCAAGAAAUAGCAAAACAGGUCUGAAAAUGAAGUCUAACUAAAAAGUGUACAAAUCCUAAGUGUACAGCUCUAUGAAUUAUUACUAAGUGAAUAUGCUCACGUAACCAUCACCUAGAUUAAGAAACAGAACAUUACCGCCACUGGAAACUUCUUAAAGUUCUACCUAGGUGGACACCUUGUUAUAUCUAAAACAAUUCUACAACGUGAUUGGGAGUGAGAUUUAGUUCUUAAUUAUGUGGCUAUGGAAAUGUAGAUUUUGAAAGGUUCCCAUUGGCUGGAAGAGAUUUGCCCAUGGGAAGAUUUUGAGUAUGCCCUGGGCUGGCCUGCUGAAGUUGAACUUUAGAGAACCCGGGCGGGCUGGCUGUGCAAUGCUCUUGGCUCCAGAGAAGGACAUGCAAGAUUCUGGCAUCCUUUUUAAAAAAAUUGUGGUAAAAUAUACAUAACAUAAAAUUAAUCAUUGUAAUCAUUUUUAAGUGUGCAGCUCAGCAGUGUUAAGUACAGAUUGUUGCGCAAUGAUCACCACCAUCCAUCCCCAGAGCUCUUUCAUCUUGAAAAACGGAAACUCAAUACCCAUUAAACAGCAACUCCCUAUUUCCCUCCACCCCCAUACCCGGUAACUACCAUUCUACUUUCUGUCUUUCUGAAUUUGACUACUGUAGGUACCUCACAGAAGUAGAAUCAUGCCAUAUUUGUCUUUUUGAGACCGUUUUAUUUCACUGAGCGUAAUGUCCUCAAGGUUCAUCCAUGUCAUGGCAUGUGUCAGAAUUCCCUUCCUUUUUAAGGCUGAAUAAUAUUCCACUGUACAUGUGUACCACAUUUAGUUUACUCAUUCAUCCAUCCAGGGACUCUUGGGUCACUGCCACCUUUUGGCUCCUGCAAAUAAUGCUGCUUUGAACAUGGGUGUACAAAUUACCCUUAUGCACCUUUCCAUUCUUUUGGGUGUAUACCUAAAAGUGGGAUUGCUGGAUCAUAUGGUAAUUGUAUCUUUAGUUUUGGAGGAAUUACUAUAUCAUUUGCUGUAGCAGCUCACUAUUCUGGAAUCCUUUUCACCUGGACCAUUUCCUCCUGACCAGCCUCCUGGAUGGCAUUAGAGGGAGCCUGACACGUGGAUUGAGGUGGUGGCAAUAGUGAGGAUGGUGGUCUGUACUCUGUAUGUGCCCGUUGUUGGGAAUCUAGAGCAAAUGGGGCAGGAUGGAGUGUGACACCACAAUCCAUGGUGGAAACUUGAGAGUUCACUGAAUAGAGGGGGAGGAAUUUAUUUAUUUACUUAUUUUUAUUUUUGAGACAGGGUCUUGCUCUGUCACUUAGGCUGGCAUGCAGUGGUGCAACAUAGCUCACUGCAGCCUUGAACUCCUGGGCUCAAGAGAUGUUUCCACCUCAGUCUCCUGAGCAACUGAGACGACAGGCCCACAUCACCACACCUAGCUAUUUAAAAAAAUUAUUUUUAUUUUGUAGAGAUGGGGUCUCAUUAUGUUGCCCAAGCUGCUCUUGGUCUCAAACUCUUGAGCUCAAGUGAUGCUCCCACCUUCAGCCUCCCAAAGUGCUAGAUUUACAGACGUGAGCCACUGUGCCCAGUCUGUGGGAAUAGUUCAUUUUGCACAAAGAUAAAUGCUUUUCCCCCUAAUUUGUGGGAGACUGAGGUUAAAGGAGUCCUUAAUAACCAGGUAUUCAGAGGCCUUCUGCCUGUUCAGUGUAUCACCUCCAGAUUUUUGGGGGGCCUUUAGGCGUAAGUGUUGAGAUAUUUAUAGAACAGAUUAUGAGCUUUUAAAUAGAUUACCUAAAAAAAAAGAAGAAGAGAGAGAGUGAGGGAAAUGGUAGCCAGUAAACCAACUGAGGAAGGCACACACCUUUUGCCUGAUAGGGAUGUCGAGGAGAGGGAUGCCACUUGAAUACGAAGGUCGUUCUUGGGCUCACGGGUGCAGUCGUUUGGGUUUAGUGCUGGCUGCUGAUGCCAGAAGCACUCAGUAUUGAACAUUCAGGGGCUUCUUCAAACAAUUUUAAGUAUUUCUGUUUUCUAAAUCUUGAUGCUUUAUUGCUAGGGAUAAGCUCACAUUAAUAUCCACUGGAAGGAAGAACUAUGAGGAUCACCAGGGUGAGGACCUUUAGAACUGAAGAAGGACACAUUAUUAUUGCUAAAAGAAUAUCUGCUUCUUCCCAGUUCCUUCCCUUUGGCCUUCUCCCAUUUCAUUAUAGGAAAAAAAAGCUCCAUGAAAUUACAUAUUGUUUUCUUAAAUUUAAAAGAUACGUAUGGCUGCCACCUAAAGUCUGUCAAGGAAAAAAAAUGUCCUACCCCAAAUGGUAACCAUUAUUUAACAGUUGUUUUAUUUUCUUCCAAAACGCUCUGUAUAUAUUCACUGUGCUUUUGAGGCAGCACAGUUUAGUUCUAAUUACUUACAACCCAAACACCACCAAUUAUAAAAAUAUACAGAUACUACCCGUAUGCAACUCUUUACCAUUAUAAACUACUUUCACAUAUAAUUGAACCUUAUCAAAAUUGAAAUUAGUAGUAGUCUUUUUUUUUUUUUUUUUGAGAGGGAGUCUGGCACUGUUGCCCAGGCUGGAGUGCAGUGGUGUGAUCUUGGCUCUUGGCUCACUUCAACCUCUGCCUUCCGGGUUCAAGCGAUUCUCCUGCCUCAGCCUCCUGAGUAGCUGGGAUUACAGGCAUGCGCCACCAUGUCUGGCUAAUUUUUGUAUUUUUAGUAGAGACUGAGUUUUGUCAUGUUGGCCAGGCUGGUCUCAAACUCCCAACCUCAGAUGAUCUACCUGCCUUGGCCUCUGAAGUGCUGGGACUACAGGUGUAAGCCACCAAGCUUGGCUGAAAUUGGUAUUAUUCUUAUUUAAUAGAAAGGAGAGGCAGGGGAGAUUAAGACACUUGUUCAAAUUUACACCACAUGUUAGAAAAUGGAGUUGGGACAAGAAUCCAAGUCAUUGAAGUAAACUGUAGGUCCACAAGCCUUUCUCCUCCACCAUAGAAUCUGGAGUGAACAUUGGAGGCCAAAGUGCCUUACAGAAAUACUUAAAGGAGCUACCAAGUCACUGGCUUCAUAAAGCUGACUAAUCUUCAUGUGUCCAUGGUGUCAGUUUAUGAAACCCUUUAUCUUAUACGAGGAGGCACACUGGACUCACUAAGAAUUGCAAUGAGAAUUGAGUUUAUUGGAAUAGGUAUAACCUCAAUAGAAUCAUAGAGAAGACAACUGAGAACCUGGAAAACAUUUUUAGUAUUCAUGAGUGUGUUGGCACCAGCUUAUUUAUAAAGUUGUUUUGACAACGUGUGUGCCUUAAACUUCUAUUUAUAAGAAGUAAAAUGGAAUCAUCUUCUUACCCUGCUGAGUUGCAAAUUCUGUUUUAGGGCAAAUUUUUAAUCUGCCUCUUUAAUAUAGAGCAAUAGAUAUAUUUUUUUUCCUGCUGAGUUUAUUUUUUCAAGUACAUAAGUUAAUUAAGAACCAUUUACCUGAAGAUAUGUUUUCUUCCUUAUGAAGUACAUAAUGAGAACAUGGCCACAGAUGUUAGGUAGUGACAGAAAUGCCUGUCUGGAAGGUGAAUUCUUUAAAUUUUUUUUAUCUCACAAUAGCUGUAUAGAGAAUUGUUGAUGGUUCAUGUUUUAUUUCCCUUUGUUAUAAAAUUUUCAUAGUUUGCAAAAAUAAAAGUUAUGGGCUAUGUGUCCUUUAUUUGAUACUCCCUGUGAGAAAGGGUAAGAUAGAAGAUUCAGUAAUGGCCAGUGUUGGUGGAAGAGACUGCUGCUUGUAACCAGUAGAGAGGAACGGGGGGUGGGGAAGUUUACUUCAGCACUGUAUUGAUUAGAAUUAGAUUCUUCUUUAUAGGAGACAGAAAUAUCUUAUAUAAGUGGCAUAAAAAUAUGAAAGUAAAUGUGUCUUUUACAUAAAAGAAAUUCAGAGUUGCAGUCUAUGGCUGGUAUGGUUCCUCCAUGAGGUUUUCAGAUACUCAGUUUCCUUCUAGUUCAUUAAUCUGUCAUUCUUAGGUUAUAGCUUUUGUCUUUAUUGUCUUCAUGAUUCAAGAUGGCUGCUAGAGCUCCAGCCAUCAUUCCUUCCUUCCUUCUUUCCUUCCUUCAUUUCUUUCUUUCCUUCUUUCCUUCUUUCUCUCUUUCUCUCUCCUUCCUUCCUUCCUUCCCCCCUUCCUUCCUUCCUUCUUUCUUUCAUUCUUUUGUUCUUUCUUGCUCUCUCACCCAGACUGGAGUGCAGUGGCACAAUCACAGCUCACUACAGCCUCUAACUCCUGGGCUUAAGUGAUCCUCCUGCCUCAGCUUCUCGAGUAGCUGAGGCUACAGUUGCACAGUACUAUGCCUGGCUAAUUUUUAAAUUCUUUGUAGAGAGAGGGUCUUGCUUGGUUUCCUGGGCUGGUCUUGAAAUCCUGGCCUUGAUCUCCUGCCUUGGCCUCCCAAAGUUGCUAGGAUUACGGAUAUGAGCCACUGCACCUGGCUCAUGUGUGUGUGUGUGUGUGUGUGUGUUUUUACAGAGGAACUUCCUAGAAAUUCCACACAAUACUUCUGCUUAUGUUGUAUUGUCCAGAACCUAGUCAUAUGGCCACAUUUACCUGCCAGGUAGGCUGGGAAAUAUAUGUUGUGGAUGGCAAUAAGCUGAAAUAAAAAUUGAAGUUCUGUUAUUGAAAAGGGGAAAAAUGGAUUUUUUUUUCCAGGAAGAACUUUUUAUUAAUAUAAAGUUUUAAGAUAUUCACCAGUCAGAUCUAAACUUACUCAUUAAACUCUAUUUUUAAAAAAUGAACACACUGUACUGCAGUGAAAGGCAGGAACGUGGUUUUAGACACUGAUUGAAAACCAGUGUCUUCACGCACUGAGAACAGGAAACAUUCUGCACUGCGAACGAAGUGCACAGUCAACAGGAAGACACACACACACGACAGAAAGCCCCCAGUGUGAGUGACCGUGUACCUGGGCAGGUGACAGGAUGCCCAGGCCGUGGCUUGGACAUGGCUGCCACGCUGCGAUGCCUGCUGGGCCCCACAAGGACUGGGGACACACACAGAGCCCAGCUAUACACUGUGAUAGAGUCCACCCAUUUUGCUACCCUAUACCCAUGUGCACUGUUCUCCUACCUUCCUGCUACCUGGAUUGUGAUUGUAAGGCCUGGAUUCCAAGAUGUUAACUUGAUAAUAAAAGCCACACACAAUAGAACAGUAAGAUGCAAGGCACAUGCAUCCCUGGCACUGUGGAGCUGUGGACAGACUAGCUCUAGAUUUCCACGUGAGAGAGAAAUACCUCUCUAUUUUGAUUAAACCAUUUUGCUAGAGUUUUGAUGGUUGCAGCUGAGCCUAAUCUUAACAGAUACAAGCAUAAUAUAAACUUAUAAAAUAGUGUUCUUUUUAAGAUUGUGUCUUACUUUGCCUACCAAUGCAGGUGGACUGACCAUCUGCCUAUCCAGCCUGGCCUACCAUGUGAUACUAGGUAUACGAAGUUGGCUCAGAAGUUAAUUUCACUCACGGGAGCUUCUGUUCUAGGAAGAACAAACAAACCAAUGCAGUAAAGGGACUCCCAUUGCUUUAAUGGAAAUCUGUAUAAAAGAGAGUGGUGCCCAGAGAUAUUUGCUAUAUGCUCUACUGCCAUCUUAGACUAGGAAAAACCAAAACCAAAACAAUGCUGACCAUAGCAUAUUUUUUUCAUCAUUGACAUUAUCUUUAUAUUAAUCACUUGUAAUUAUUCCUUGAAUAUACAAAAUCUGACUAUUGGUUUUUGUUUAUAUUGAGAGAAUGAUGACAUCAGAUUAAACAUUAAUUUUCCCUUGAGAAUCUUUCAAUACAAUUGGAGUAGAAUUUUUUUUUUUUGAGACAGGGUCUUGCUGUGCCACCCAGGCUGGGGUGCAGUGGGGCAAUCAUGGCUCACUGCAGCCUCAACCUCCUGGGCUCAGGUGAUCCUCUUGCCUCAGCCUCCUAAGUAGCUGGUACCACACGCGUGCACCACCACACCUGACAAAUAUUGGAAAAUUAUUUAUAGAGAUGAGGUCUCCCUAUGUUGUUCAGACUGGUCUCAAACUCCUGAACUCAAGCGCUCCUCUUGCCUCGGACUCUUAAAGUGCUGAGAUUGCAGGUGUGAGCCACUGCACCCAGCCUGGAGCAGAAUAUUUUUACAUAAAACUAAAGAGAGGUUGGCGACUUAUAAUCGUGUUCAGGAGGUAGCAAAUGUUUUACUUAGGUGAGAAGAAAUAUACUUUUCGUGUUGUCAUAGAGUAAGCCCAAUCCUUAUUUACUUUUGUUACCAUUGGCAUGACAACAAUCAUUGGAGCAUCUUUGUCUUCCAAACAUUUCUUAUAUUAUUUACUUUUUCAUAGCAACUUAAAACGGAAGAUCAUAGAGUUUAGGUGACUUGCCCUAGGACACGCCCUUGGAAAAUAGUAGAGCCAGAAUUUGAAUUCAGUUCUGGGUCUCUUUUUUUUUUUUGAAUUCCAUUCAUGUGUUGAUAAUAGCUGCUAUGGAGACUUAGCCAGGAAAGCAGAUGUGGAUGGUUAGCGGAAGCUAAAGAGGAAAAAGGUUAAGCUUUUUUUUUGAAGUUUUCCUGCUCAGCUAGGAAAACAUUGCUGCAGUUAUCAGGUAAUUGAAGUGUCAACGUGACGCUGUCAGAAAGGUUGGAUGAAUUUGUUCCUGUUGGCCUAUAUUUGGCUGUUAAGUGAGUUGCACAAUUGCAGUUUUCAGGUUAAGAAACUCUCUGGCAGUCGUGGGAGUUCCUCUUUAGAAGCAACUCUGCUAACAUGCAAAAUCAAUGUCACUGAAGAUUUUGCUUAUGUUACUGCCUCCAACACUGUUUGAUCCUUACAUAAAAGAGACAUUUGUCAUUUGACAGGACUAAGACUGGGAAAGGUUGUGGAGGCUUCCCCCAGCUGUGGUGCACAAAUAUCUACACAUUCUGUCUGCUUAAGUUUCUUUGGAAUGUUUUCAUUGCAAAGGCUGGGUCACUGAGGGGGCCUGCCCUUGCCCUUUGACCUUGGUAAAUUACUGCCCCCAGUCCUGAUGAGUUUGCAGGACAAACUUCCAUCAUCUUCCCAACCUUGGCAAUGAGGGAGAAGGCUGGACCUCCCUGGCUUUGUUUUAAUCCAUUUUCACCUCCCUUUUCUUUUUCUUUCUCUUAAUUCUUGUUGUUCUUCCUUUGAGUGACUACCAGCCCCUAUGUAACUCUUUCUCUUUUUUUUCUACCCCUCUAUCUUGGCUGCCACUCAACUUCAAAGCUCACUUCAGCAGGAGAAAUGUGUGAGUUGUAUGGAAAUGCUGCCCUCUGGACUUUCAGUAUUUUAACCCCCGGACUUGAUUCAACUGCUUCCCAAAUGAUUGGAAAGAAAUAUCCCAAGCCCAGAACUGGAGAAACCCUUUUUUUUUCAGUGACCAAAUAGAUUUUGGUGUUGUGCCUAUGUACCUUUGAUCAAUUCAUAUUUCCAAUUUGGGGACAUGCUUUUUCUAAAGACAAGUGUCUUUCACUUAGAGGAACUUAGCUGAUGGAUGACUUGUACAGAUCCAAUUAGUCUUGUUUCAGAUUAUAGGCAUUCAGAAAGAGGUAUCUUUUAAUGGUUUUUUGGGACCGUGGGAAUUUUGUUACAAUAUCUGUCACAUCUUCCAGUAAAAAAGUGAUAGCAAUUUUUUUCUCUUUGGAGGUCUUUUUAAAAUGCCUUCUUUCCUCAUUGCUACAGAUAUGUUCUUGCAUAAAUCUUUGAAGCAAGCCAAUGUCUUCUAGAAUCUCAUUAAAUUUCAUGACUUUCCAUUCCUUGUGUUGAAAAUAUAUUCCAUUUUUUACAUAACAUUUUAAACAUUAUCCCUUAAAAAGGUAAAGGAUGUUCAUAGGGAAUCAGAAAGUUUGUAAAACACAAAUAAUAAAAAUUAAAAUAAUCCAUAAUGAUAAAAUUGUCACGUUUUAUCCUGUUUAUUUUGCUUAGAGAGUGAUAGAGCCUUUGUUGGGUG